This 906-nucleotide long non-coding RNA is filed under the name Homo sapiens (human). RNAcentral describes it as "HSALNT0350713". The record is from RNAcentral. Lineage: Eukaryota; Metazoa; Chordata; Mammalia; Primates; Hominidae.
CUGCAGGCUCUCUGAAGGUGAGGACGCCCCCACAGCCCAGUCUCUGCCAGCUCAACACAGGUCCCCCUCCAGAGCGUCGGCGGUUUUCAAAGUAGAGAGUGAGCAGCUCGUCGGGCACGGCAGGGGGCAGUCCACGGACCUCCACUGCCACCCCUGCCUCUGCCUCCGCCAUUGCAACCCUGGGACGGGGCAUCAGGUCUUGCCUGCCCAUUCCUGCAGCUUUCUGUCCUGCCUGCACCUCCCCAUCUCACACCAUCAUUGGCAUCGUCACAAGUAACCUCAGAAGGUGACAAGGUUAUCCAUUACGCCGACCCUGGCUGCAGAGGGCCUGCCACAGGCACCACUCACACCACAAGCAGACUGGUACAGUUUCGGGAAUUUCUGUGGACUGGUUGUCCAGCUGGGGGUAACUUGAAACCAGCCCCGGUGGAGUAUUCACACCACGCGCAUGUGCAAAACACGCACCCCAGGCUUCCCCUCACUAGGUCCGGCUGCUAAACACUGCGCCAGCGCACCAUAGGUGCAGGACUCAGAGCGGCCUGGGAGAGGCCGGCCCUCCAAGGGCGGGAGGGCAGGUGGGGUCUGGGCCCCGGGUGGGAAGGCUGGCAGCAGGAUGUACCCUGCCUGUGUCAGUCACUGCUCCCCCAAGAGGACUUGGGAGCUAAGCAGGGAGGUGGCCUGGCCUCCAGUCCUGCUGCAUCCCCAAGCCUCAGCCCCUCGCAGCUUGUGAGGACGUUAGGCAGACAAGCGAGCGUUCAGGGUCUCUAGUGUGAAAACAAGACAUCGUAUUUGUUAGUACAAAGGGUGACUGUGGUCAAGAAUAAUUGUACAUUUUAAAACAACUCCAAGAGUAUAACUGGAUUGUUUGUAACACGAAGGACAAAAUGCCUGAGCUGAUGGAUACCC